RNAcentral lists this ribosomal RNA (268 nucleotides) under Escherichia coli. Its description in RNAcentral is "partial 16S ribosomal RNA". It matches the Rfam family "Bacterial small subunit ribosomal RNA", at positions 1 to 265 of the family's 1533-position model. Lineage: Bacteria; Pseudomonadati; Pseudomonadota; Gammaproteobacteria; Enterobacterales; Enterobacteriaceae. The record is from RNAcentral.
AAAUUGAAGAGUUUGAUCAUGGCUCAGAUUGAACGCUGGCGGCAGGCCUAACACAUGCAAGUCGAACGGUAACAGGAAGAAGCUUGCUUCUUUGCUGACGAGUGGCGGACGGGUGAGUAAUGUCUGGGAAACUGCCUGAUGGAGGGGGAUAACUACUGGAAACGGUAGCUAAUACCGCAUAACGUCGCAAGACCAAAGAGGGGGAGCUUCGGGCCUCUUGCCAUCGGAUGUGCCCAGAUGGGAUUAGCUAGUAGGUGGGGUAACGGCU